RNAcentral lists this long non-coding RNA (1271 nucleotides) under Phascolarctos cinereus (koala). RNAcentral describes it as "lncRNA (ENSPCIG00000019130.2)". Lineage: Eukaryota; Metazoa; Chordata; Mammalia; Diprotodontia; Phascolarctidae. The record is from RNAcentral.
GGCUAAAGAAGCACUGCACCUCAAGGACUCAGCAUUGUUUCUUCUUGCCCAGAGGAGAAGAUAUCUAAGAAGCAGCGAUGUGAUCUGGGACAUAAGAGUAAGGGACAUGAAAGUGUGCAAGGUUGGUCACACAGAAGGAGCCAGCAUGCUACUUGUAGCUGGACAGCUUUCCCAGAAUUCCAUGGGCUUAGCUUUGCUGCCUUUUUUGGGGGGCCCUGAUCUUGGAGAACCAGAAAAACCAAGCAACAGAGAGAAGGUGGUGGUGGGAUGAAGGUGAGCAGAAUGGUGAAUGGUGGAGAAAGCCAUGCAUGACAAUCAGAGAGAUACCUACAAACCAUCGCUGGGAAAAGCUUCUGAGACAUAAGCCACAAAGGCCUACUGGAAAAUCAGAAUUGAUGUAAUUGUGAUGUAAUUGGCCAUCAACAAGAGGGCAAGUGUCAGGAACCUAUAGCUCCAUAGUAGUGAGAGCUGGCCCCAGAGUUAGGACUGAAUUUGGGAUUCUUUUCACCUUAUAGCAAAGUCUCUUGUCCCUUUUGUGGUUGCUUGUUAAUUCUUUAACCAUUACAUUCUAUUUAGAUUUUGCUUACCUCCCAUAAAGCCCUAUUGGCUGGCAGAACUGCUAAACUGCUAUUUUAGAGUCCACACAGGAAAGGAUUCAGUUGUAUUUAAUUCUUGUGAGUCCUAGAGAUUUGGCUUCAUUAUUCAUCAAGCUCUAGCCUUGACUUUCUAGACUUUCUCUACUAUGCCACAGCAAUUUCCUCAUCCUGCAAGUUAACUCUGUUCCCUGUGGCUACUUCCCCUAAUCAGUUAGGUCAUCCCAGGACCUUCACUUUAAGAAAGUUUCCAGCCUUUUAAAAUAUCUCUUAGGGGAUUUCCAGGAGUCAUGAUUGCAGAAUAAGCAUGAAAUCGCCAUAACUCUUAUACUCACCUGCAAACAACCAAAAAAUAGCACCCCAGAACAAAUCCUGGAACUAUGGAACCAACAAAAAGAUGGAGUGAGAUAGUCUUCUAAUUCAAGAAACUUGGAAGAUUCACACAAAAGGUCUGUCUCAUUCAGGUAAAACAGGAGUGUAGUACAGAACAGGAAGUGUUGUACAGUGUAGUACAGAACAGCAAGGCCACAGCAAGCCACACCUCAGCAAACCAGCCAGAGAUCCUAAACCCCAGUGUGCUGGAGCAGGCAAAUGCCAACAUCAGGACCCCCCACAUGUCUCAGCACAGCCAGGUGAAUGGGCAGCCUCUAGCUCCGAGAACUGCCACAUAUUUCAGCU